GGGUUCGGCAAGGGACAAACGACAUGAGAGAAGGAACGGGUAAAAGAAUUUGAGAAUGGGCCGAUCAAAGAUUACGAAAAAAUUCAAUUUGUGUAAUCUUUAUUCCCGUUUGUGACUCCAUGAACUCCAUGAGGGGGUGUUGUCUUAACUCUUAGUAUAGAGAGACUCUGGCAAAAUGUAGUCCAGUUUCUCCAUGGUUCGAUUGCAUGAGUCCUUUAUACUGCUGUUUAUGUUCCAUGCCGCACAGGACAGGAUGGCAACGUUUCGAGUUGUCGUGACUGCGAAAAAAUUGGAGUUGGGGGGGGGGGGGGUUCGGGUACAUGAGAAUGGACGAGCAUUCCUCCGUUUGCGUUUGUGUGCUGAGUCUGGAUGACAAACACGAUACACUUCCAAAUAGUUCAGUUACCUACUUAACGACCCAUUAGUUCUGUAAGUUUUCCGGACGAGUGCAACUGUACUAAACUUGGCUUACACGGAGACCGAUCAAUUUUUUCGAUGAUGGAGAAGAUUAUUUUAUAUAUCCUCGUGACAUGCGGAUUUUUUUGGCCGAGUGCGAAAGCUGAGAUUUCACCGGAGGAGCUUGCAACUCUCCAGGACUACCGAGCCAUUGAUGAAAUCUUACUCAGUUACCUGAGGAACGUCAUUGUUAUUUUGGAAUCCAAAAUAGAUUAUAUAUAUUUUUUGCGGGACUCUCUCACUGGGCACAAUCAUUUGAAGUUGGAUCCGCAACACUACUCAAAAGAUGCGCUCCAGAACUUUAAAUUGGCCAAACGGUUCAUGUAUCAGUGGAAGCUAAUUCAUAGAAGUGUUCGCGACAACCCCAUCGAAAGAUUGGAUGAUCGAUACCGACAGUUGCUAGCUAAAUAUGCAUUUCCGUCGAUGACUGAUUUGAGGAAUUUUGCAAUGGACUACUUACGCAUACAAAUUAGGAGAAAUAUUCCCACCGUGGAUCUUGCGAGCGGUACAUUUCUGGGUGCAAAACACAAGACGGCGUUGCGCGGUGAGAAAUACAUUUACAGCAUAAGAACAAAAAAAAACUCUAAUUUAUGUAUUUGAGUUCGAGGCCCAACUGUAAAAAAUGUGCAUUUGACUGAGAAAUUAAAAUAUUUCAACACCGCGUUUGAAUGUAAAAAAAAAAAU
This 1140-nucleotide long non-coding RNA is filed under the name Bemisia tabaci. Its description in RNAcentral is "lncRNA ENSSSA1UGG003707". Lineage: Eukaryota; Metazoa; Arthropoda; Insecta; Hemiptera; Aleyrodidae. The record is from RNAcentral.